Molecule: ribosomal RNA, 374 nt
Filed under: uncultured organism
Description: partial 16S ribosomal RNA
Rfam family: Bacterial small subunit ribosomal RNA
Source: RNAcentral
GUAGGUGGCAAGCGUUGUCCGGAAUUAUUGGGGCGUAAAGCGCGCGCAGGCGGUUCUUUAAGUCUGAUGUGAAAGCCCACGGGCUCAACCGUGGAGGGUCAUUGGAAACUGGAGAACUUGAGUACAGAAGAGGAAAGCGGAAUUCCACGUGUAGCGGUGAAAUGCGUAGAGAUGAGGAGGAACACCAGUGGCGAAGGCGGCUUUCUGGUCUGUAACUGACGCUGAGGCGCGAAAGCGUGGGGAGCAAACAGGAUUAGAUACCCUGGUAGUCCACGCCGUAAACGAUGAGUGCUAAGUGUUAGGGGGUUUCCGCCCCUUAGUGCUGCAGCUAACGCAUUAAGCACUCCGCCUGGGGAGUACGGCCGCAAAGGCUG